RNAcentral lists this long non-coding RNA (298 nucleotides) under Phasianus colchicus (ring-necked pheasant). RNAcentral's name for it is "lncRNA (ENSPCLG00000008916.1)". The record is from RNAcentral. Lineage: Eukaryota; Metazoa; Chordata; Aves; Galliformes; Phasianidae.
GGCUUUUUACCAUUAUGUUAAGGAUCAUUCAGAAGGAAGUAAAGUAUGCAAGUAAUUCUCUUCCCUUAAGGAGUGAACGUGUAAUAAAGCCACUUAUGUUCACACUCUGCCUAUAUCGCUCCAGAGCCAUCCUCAGUCUUUGGUCACUCGAUGAAAUCCAGCACUUCACUGAAGAAGGGACAGCAAGGGAGUGUUGCCAAAUCCUGAGGGUUCAAGCUUGACUGGUUCAAGGGACAAGAAGCAAUAUUUCCUGAAACAAAAAGCUGAAAGAUAACUCCACACCUUUGCCCACAAUGAU